UCAGCCCAUUGCCACUGCGUCGGGGGAAAGGUCUAGCUGGGAUGUGCUGCAUGUGGUGGGCCUGGGAGGCAGCGGUUUUAUUUCGGUGCUUUUGUCAGACCUAGUGGGAUGCAUAUGCAGCUCAAGAGACAACUCAAAAUUCUCCACCGGACUGAGAAUGUCUCUGCUCGGACAGUUUUGUCUCCAGCAGUCUGAAGGCUGGUCGGUUCCUGGCGUUCUGGCCAUCAGAACUGAGUGAACACUCCAAAAUGAUGUACACAGAUAUUGAAAUAAAAUCCACAAGUCUGCCUGGAAGAAAAGAGGAAACCAAGUUCUCUGUUCUCAAGACUGUCGUCAUGAAGUUAUCCAUAGGACGAUGAUAUCAAAGAAACAAGGGGCUCUAACAGGAGAAGAGCACAGACUUUGGAGCAAUCAAGAAUCUUUUUGGUGGCGGGGACUGGAGAUUGCCUCUGAGGAGUCAAGGCAGCACGCCGUGGAGCUACUCACUUGAGAAACAGAAUUGGCAGCACUUCCUCGUAGACCCUGCUGCGCUUGAAGAUCCCAUAUACCCUGAUAGACCUUUAAAGUUCAUCAAAAACUCAUCAAAUCAAUCAGAGCUUAUGAAACAGAGCUAUUUUGCUGUGGUUACUUUCUACUCCAUAGUUAUUUGAAUGCAUAUUAUGUUUAAAUUGUGCUUCACUCCUACCCAACAAUCUUCCAACCCAACAAUCUUCCUUACUCCAACUUGUAAGCAAAUGCAAACAUUUUCAUACCCAUGCGUAAUCUUAUAUCCUCUCAAAUACAAAUAUACUGCAGACACAGACACAUAUGCAGACAUGCACACAUAUAUACACAUUUUGCCAUAUUAGCUUUUCAGUCUUUGAUAUGUUCUCAUGAAAAAUAUCUAAGAUUUAUAUGGAUCCUAGUAACCUAUCCCACAUAUCCACAGCACUGGGAAAGAAAAGUCUGUGUAAAGUGCUUAGUUAUAUACCCUGUGUCUGUUGUCAGCAAAAUUAACUGAGGUAAGAACUUUAGGAGACCCAAAGGAUUUGUUUCUAUAGGUUUCUCAAUCCAGAGCAGAAGUGAUUUGGGUGAAAUACUCCAAGAAUUCAGCAUAGGCAAAUGACGCAAGAGAAAGUUCUACAGAUAUCAAGGCAGAAGGUGAAUACAUGAUAAUUAAUUCUUUUUCAUUGAAUAUAUGCUGCUAAUUGACUUGGCUGCAGUAUCAUUACCAUGAUUCAUAAGCUCAUACAUUUUAGGCCAGAAGCAACCAUUAUGAUAAUCUAGUCUCAAUGUCUGCAUAACAAAGAAUCUCACCCAGGUGUUGCUGUAUCAGCCCUCUAAUUUCUGCCUGAAUUACAGUGUUUCUUUCAAAAAUCUAUCCUGUGCUUAUUUAUAUGAUAGAAAAUCUACCAGGUACUAGAGUAAGUAGUAUCAAGUACUAGGAUAAGUAGUUCCAAAGGUAAUUUUUUUUCUUUGAAAUUUGCAGCUUAUUUUCGAUAUCAUAUUUAUAUCGCUAUUUCCAUCUGAUACUUUUUUCUCUGAAUGUACCUUAUAAACGUUUAGAAAACUGUCACACAAAACAUUUUUUUUGCUGCAGUUAAAAGUCUGUGUAGAGUUUAUAACAAUCUUCCUACUGUAUUAAUAAGAUCUUUAAGGGAUCACUCAAGCUUUAUCACCUUUCUUCCCUUCUCUCUAUGCUAUCUCUCAGCUUUUCUCUCCUUCCAUCCUCCCCCAAAAAAGGAGUGAAAAGAAAAGGGGAGGGAUAGAGAAAAUUCACACUGUAGAAUUUUAAAAUCUGCAGAAUAUUUCUGGAUGCAUGUAACGGUAGGCAGAUAUCAGCAUUCCUGCAGUCCUGGCCAAAAUGGUUUUUUUUCCUCUUUGCUCUCCCUCAACACAUCUCUCUCCUUCUCUUGUUUCCUAAUAGUCCCCGGAGCCUCAUUUAUCUCAUUUCGCAAGCUCAUACCAAUGAGUGCUGUGGCACAAGCAACAAGAGAGGAAGUCACACUGCUUCUUGGGAAGGGUAGAAUUUGCCUUUUUCUCAGGCAAUAUUUCAACAAGUGAGUACUGCUACAGCAGCUAUACCUCCUCCCCACUGCAUAGCCAAGCUCAGAUAUUCUGGGGAGACAAACUCCUGCCAUUCUGUGCUCCUCUGAGUAUCCUUUUAUGCCAGAAUGGUUUCAUUGAUUUAAAUAGGAAAAAAACAUCCAAAACCAAGCCAGAAUCUGAUAUGCCUAUUGACAUUGACCAAACCCUUGUGCUGUGAAGGCAAUGUUGAAACAUCUGUUGAUUGCAACAGAGACCUGAGUAAACAUGUUGUUGAAGUAAGUGAUGUUGUCUGUGAAAUACUUUAUGAAUUAUUUAUGAAAUACUGACAACACUUUGGAGCACUCGAGAAUCUUUUUGGCGGCUGGGGUAGGAGACUGCCUCUGAGGAGUCAAGGCUGUGGAGAUACUCACUCGAGAAACAGGACCGGCAGCACUGCCUCGUAGAGCCUGCUGCUCUUGAAGAUCCCAUAUACCCUGAUAGACCUUUAAAAUUCAUCAAAAACUCCUAGCUGAAACCUUUAAAAUCAGUCAGAGGGAGACUGAGCUUAUGAAAGGGAGCAGUUUAGCUCCAAAGUAUACUUAUGAUACAGGUAUCCAUAAAAGCCAUUAGUGAUAAAGAUGUUAUUUCCACAUUAUCUCAUUUGUCUUAUAUCAUUUAUCUACCUAAACUGUGAAUAAAGAAUUAACUUCCAUGCAUUUUAGGAUGUAGGGAGAAAACCUGGUGAGUUCCCAAAAGUGCAGGUGGUCAUGUUUGUAUUUAUGUGUAAGUCAACAACAAGCUGAUGUGAUUAAAUAGUUACUCUAUCAGUAACUUGGCCCUGUGCUUUUCUCCAUCUGGUAGGCAGGCAGGCAGAUUAAACUUAUGCCAUGUGUGUAUUUUUCUUGUAACAAAAUGAGUUUUGUUUAUAUUUCUAGUCACUAUCAAGUAGUAACAGCCUUACCAAAUAUAUUGAUUCACAUUAAAAAAAAAAAACGAGGAUUUAGCGGAAACACAACAACUUCAUCUAAUGCGUAAUAUUUUAUUUAAAGAAAAUGGCAGUAAAACAAACAAAAAAAAACCAGUUAUAGACCUUGAAGAAAAUCACAUUUAUAGUUGAACCUGUGAAUUUUGGAGCUACCAGUUGUUUCCUGGAAGUCACUUUGAAAUGAGUUUUGGGAAAUCAGGUUUAUAUUGACUUGGUCUGUAAUGGUUGGCUGUUGCUUUUUUGUUUAAGCCUGAUUAAAUUACCCUGAAAAAGCUCCAAGUCCAUGUCCUCAUUUGAGGCCAAUUGUGAAUAUGAUCGUAAUAAUACACUCUCUAAAAAAUAUUUCAGAAGGUUAAAUACUCUCUAAACCUGGAAUCUUGUCGUUGUGCUCUUACAGGAUUAAUCAAUUGAAUUUGAUUCCUUGUCUCAACAUGCAUCACUUCUAUUUUUUUAUACCACACACUUCUGGUUGUAAAGGGCUGAGGUUGUUUGCUAGACUUCUUCUAUAUAGUACAAUAGGAGGUAAUUUUGACUGUGUCUUAAAGAAAGAAAUAAUCAACAUGUAUUGGCAGUAAUAAAAAUUGGUGGCUAUAUUACUGAUUUCAGCCUUUAUCUGCCUCUGAAAUGAGGGACUUCUCUAGUUAUUUCUUCAUACUUCAGUAAACUCAACUGAAAUCAGGGCCACAAUAUAUCUAUACAAGCACAUAGGAAUGAAUGUUCUUAAUCUAAAAAAGCUUUGAAAAUAAAUGCUAAAUAUGCAAAGACUCAAUAAAUAGAGAGGUGAACGGACUUACCUGCAGCUGCACAGUGAUGUGCAAUCCACAGUCACUAUGAAUUUAAGAGAAAGACCAGCAGCCUGCUGGAUACAUCCUUUCAAAGGGGAUUUGGUAGCACUUUCCAAACUUCCCCAGUUCUUAUCUGAGAGGGAGCAGGUAAGCUGGGGAGCAGUGCUCCCCUCAUAAG
Long non-coding RNA from Dromaius novaehollandiae (emu), 3955 nucleotides. RefSeq lists it as uncharacterized. The record is from RefSeq and is a predicted model, not a curated record. The transcript is spliced from 3 exons. Lineage: Eukaryota; Metazoa; Chordata; Aves; Casuariiformes; Dromaiidae.